AACGAACGCUGGCGGCGCGCCUAAUACACGCAAGUCGAGCGAGAAGACGUAGCAAUACGUUUGUAAAGCGGCGAACGGGUGAGGAAUACAUGGGUAACCUACCCUCGAGUGGGGAAUAACUAGCCGAAAGGUUAGCUAAUACCGCGUACGCUCCUUGGACUUCGGUUCAGGGAGGAAAGCGAUACCGUGGGUAUCGCGCUCUUGGAUGGGGCUCAUGUCCUAUCAGCUUGUUGGUGAGGAACGGCUCACCAAGGCUUCGACGGGUAGCUGGUCUGAGAGGACGAUCAGCCACACUGGCACUGCGACACGGGCCAGACUCCUACGGGAGGCAGCAGUAAGGAAUAUUGCGCAAUGGGCGAAAGCCUGACGCAGCGACGCCGCGUGGGGGA
This 389-nucleotide ribosomal RNA is filed under the name uncultured bacterium. RNAcentral's name for it is "bacterial SSU rRNA". It matches the Rfam family "Bacterial small subunit ribosomal RNA", at positions 29 to 408 of the family's 1533-position model. The record is from RNAcentral.